CCUACGGAGGCAGCAGUCGAGAAUUUUUCACAAUGGACGAAAGUCUGAUGGAGCGACGCCGCGUGGAGGAUGAAGGUUUUCGGAUUGUAAACUCCUGUCACUGCAGAACAAGGCUAGGCGAUUGAACAUUUCGCCUAGUUGAUGGUAUGCGGAGAGGAAAGGACGGCUAACUCUGUGCCAGCAGCCGCGGUAAU
RNAcentral lists this ribosomal RNA (194 nucleotides) under uncultured Verrucomicrobiales bacterium. Its description in RNAcentral is "partial 16S ribosomal RNA". It matches the Rfam family "Bacterial small subunit ribosomal RNA", at positions 338 to 524 of the family's 1533-position model. The record is from RNAcentral. Lineage: Bacteria; Pseudomonadati; Verrucomicrobiota; Verrucomicrobiia; Verrucomicrobiales.